GACGAACGCUGGCGGCGUGCUUAACACAUGCAAGUCGAACGAGAGCGUAGAGACAGCUUGCUUUUUCUACAAUCUAGUGGCAAACGGGUGAGUAACGCGUAAACAACCUGCCCUACGGAUGGGGACAACAGCUGGAAACGGCUGCUAAUACCGAAUACGUUCCGAAAGUCGCAUGACUAUCGGAAGAAAGGAUGGCCUCUAUUUAUAAGCUAUCGCCGGAGGAGGGGUUUGCGUCUGAUUAGCUAGUUGGAGGGGUAACGGCCCACCAAGGCGACGAUCAGUAGCCGGUCUGAUAGGAUGAACGGCCACAUUGGAACUGAGACACGGUCCAGACUCCUACGGGAGGCAGCAGUGGGGAAUCUUCCGCAAUGGGCGAAAGCCUGACGGAGCAACGCCGCGUGAGUGAAGACGGCCUUCGGGUUGUAAAGCUCUGUUAUACGGGACGAAUAAUCUUGUGGUUAAUACCCAUGAGAAGUGACGGUACCGUAAGAGAAAGCCACGGCUAACUACGUG
RNAcentral lists this ribosomal RNA (513 nucleotides) under uncultured bacterium. RNAcentral's name for it is "partial 16S ribosomal RNA". It matches the Rfam family "Bacterial small subunit ribosomal RNA", at positions 28 to 507 of the family's 1533-position model. The record is from RNAcentral.